This 256-nucleotide ribosomal RNA is filed under the name uncultured bacterium. RNAcentral describes it as "partial 16S ribosomal RNA". It matches the Rfam family "Bacterial small subunit ribosomal RNA", at positions 524 to 776 of the family's 1533-position model. The record is from RNAcentral.
UACGUAGGGUGCGAGCGUUAAUCGGAAUUACUGGGCGUAAAGCGUGCGCAGGCGGUUUUGUAAGCCAGAUGUGAAAUCCCCCGGGCUUAACCUGGGAAUGGCAUUUGGGACUGCAAGGCUUGAGUGCGGCAGAGGGGGAUGGAAUUCCGCGUGUAGCAGUGAAAUGCGUAGAUAUGCGGAGGAACACCGAUGGCGAAGGCAAUCCCCUGGGCCUGCACUGACGCUCAUGCACGAAAAGCGUGGGGGAGCAAACAGG